GAUGAACGCUGGCGGCGUGCUUAACACAUGCAAGUCGAACGGAAAGGCCCAAGCUUGCUUGGGUACUCGAGUGGCGAACGGGUGAGUAACACGUGGGUGAUCUGCCCUGCACUUCGGGAUAAGCCUGGGAAACUGGGUCUAAUACCGGAUAGGACCACAUUUUGGAUGGUGUGGUGGAAAGUUUUUCGGUGUGGGAUGAGCUCGCGGCCUAUCAGCUUGUUGGUGGGGUAAUGGCCUACCAAGGCGUCGACGGGUGGACGGCCUGAGAGGGUGUACGGCCACAUUGGGGCUGGGGUACGGCCCAGACUCCGACGGGAGGCAGCAGGGGGGAAGAUUGCACAAUGGGCGCAAGCCUGAUGCAGCGACGCCGCGGGGGGGAUGACGGCCUUCGGGGUGAAAACUCCUUUCGCUAGGGACGAAGCGUUAUGUGACGGUACCUGGAGAAGAAGCACCGGCUAACUACGUG
This 466-nucleotide ribosomal RNA is filed under the name uncultured bacterium. RNAcentral describes it as "partial 16S ribosomal RNA". It matches the Rfam family "Bacterial small subunit ribosomal RNA", at positions 28 to 507 of the family's 1533-position model. The record is from RNAcentral.